GGCCAGGUGACGUGAUAGAGUUGACGUUUUAUACAAUUUUUAUGUUUUAGACGAAAAAUCUGUCAACGAUGAACACGUUUCACAGAAUGGAAAAGAAAAUAAAAGAAUAGGUAAAAAUUGGUUUAAGUAUAUUGACUGGAUUUAGUACAGAUCAUGCAGAUUUAUGUUUGUCCAUACACGUUUACUCCGGUUUUGUCCUUGAAUAUGCAGUUAUAACGUAUAAUACUUUGUAAAGGUCUGAUUCCACAAGCGCUUUUUCUCGGCGAAAUUGUUUUCUUUGUCUUUUUUUGCGUGUUAAGAAAUUGUGGAACAGGAGCAAUUACUGGGCGUGCAGAAAUUGUUUUCGCGAAGAAACCUGCUCUCUGCUGUAGAUUGCGCACCGACACCUGUGCCACAGAUAUUUAUGCUUGUUAUAUAGAGCGAUAAAGCACAUAAUAAAAUAGUUAACUAUAUUAGGGGGAAAGGUAGUGAAGUAUUGCCCAAAUACUGCCAUAGAUACAUUAUCCGGUUACCAUUUUUCCUUGACCAGCAUCCGGUAGACUACCAUAUCCAGUAUAUCCAGUCAUGCAGUAUGCGGCUCAUCCAUAUAAACCCCUUGCAAUAAUAUACACUUUAAACCAGGUUAAAACUAACGUUAUGUCAAAGUCUUUAUAGUCAAUUAUAUAUUUUUCCCGUUGUGUAGAGAGAUCACGCUGUUCCAUUAUGAUGAUUAUUGUUCUCAUUGGAUUAAUAUUGGGAAUAUCUGGUUUGAUUAUAUAUUGCAAUAAAAAUGACUGCAUUUUUACAAGAUUAAAGCAAAUGUUAUAAAAAUAUUUUUAAUAAUAAAUAUGAUUGUAAAGCUAUGAAAUCAGAAUAAAUGCCAGUUGAAAACCGGGUGUAAAUGUAAACCGUUGGAUGCUGAUCCGUCACUAAAUAUCUUUAUGAAACAAGGGUUCGGGGUUCUAAACUCUCCGCGAGUAAGGGCGUCA
This is a non-coding RNA of Paramuricea clavata, 968 nucleotides long. Lineage: Eukaryota; Metazoa; Cnidaria; Anthozoa; Malacalcyonacea; Plexauridae. The record is from the annotation of a GenBank genome assembly.